Molecule: long non-coding RNA, 722 nt
Organism: Sinocyclocheilus grahami
Lineage: Eukaryota; Metazoa; Chordata; Actinopteri; Cypriniformes; Cyprinidae
Exons: 4
Source: RefSeq, a predicted model, not a curated record
GGGACGGGGAUCGGGAGCGGAGGUCGGCGGUCACAGGUCACAUCUGCAGGGCAGCAGGAGAGGUCAGAGGUCACGGAGGAGAACGGCAGUGGACAGGUAGAGACCGCAAACACCAGGAGUCAAGGGAAUGUGUUUGAUUCAUCUGAACUGAUUCACGAGUCGUUCCACGCCUGAUCUUCUGAAAGCACAGCGAGAGCUUCCGGAUCAUCCUGACGAGGAACCGCUAAACUGGUGAUGGUUAACUACCUAAAAGACGGGCGAGAACCAGCUGCUUUAGGGCGAAUGUUCCUGCUUCACGUACAGAAAUCUCGAGGUGUUUGUUCAGCUGGAUGACUGUAGAUGCGCUUCAGACUCUGUCCUCCAUCUCCGCACAUCAGAUGAACCUGAGGGAGAACUGAGUUCAUUCCUCAUCCUGAGGAACCAGAGUGACGGUUUGAACUAAAACCGGUAGUUCAGCUAGUUUGUCAUCAUUUACUCGGCCUCAUGUUGCUCCAAACCUGCAGGACUUUGUUUGUUCUGCCUCAGAAGAAAUAAACACAGAUGUGCUGACGCUCCAGAAAAGGUCCUGUGAGGGUGAAGCUGUUAUCAGGCGGAGGGUGGAGCUGAUGUUUGACCAGAUCCACAUGCUGAAGUUCAGAGCGCUGGAGGAGUUGGAGUUUGCAGCUCCUCUGGAGGAGGUGAAUGGUCUUAAGGACAGAAGGGCGGCGCUAGCUAACACACAC